This 497-nucleotide ribosomal RNA is filed under the name uncultured bacterium. RNAcentral's name for it is "partial 16S ribosomal RNA". It matches the Rfam family "Bacterial small subunit ribosomal RNA", at positions 28 to 507 of the family's 1533-position model. The record is from RNAcentral.
GAUGAACGCUGGCGGCGUGCCUAAUACAUGCAAGUCGAGCGAACGGACGAGAAGCUUGCUUCUCUGAGGUUAGCGGCGGACGGGUGAGUAACACGUGGAUAACCUACCUAUAAGACUGGGAUAACUUCGGGAAACCGGAGCUAAUACCGGAUAAUAUUUUGAACCGCAUGGUUCAAAAGUAAAAGACGGUCUUGCUGUCACUUAUAGAUGGAUCCGCGCUGCAUUAGCUAGUUGGUAAGGUAACGGCUUACCAAGGCAACGAUGCAUAGCCGACCUGAGAGGGUGAUCGGCCACACUGGAACUGAGACACGGUCCAGACUCCUACGGGAGGCAGCAGUAGGGAAUCUUCCGCAAUGGGCGAAAGCCUGACGGAGCCACGCCGCGUGAGUGAUGAAGGUCUUCGGAUCGUAAAACUCUGUUAUUAGGGAAGAACAUAUGUGUAAGUAACUGUGCACAUCUUGACGGUACCUAAUCAGAAAGCCACGGCUAACUACGUG